GGACAAGUGUCCGAGCGGUCGAAGGAGACGGUCUUGAAAACCGUUGAACGAAAGUUCCGCGAGUUCGAAUCUCGCCUUGUCCGC
This 84-nucleotide transfer RNA is filed under the name Galliscardovia ingluviei. RNAcentral's name for it is "tRNA-Ser". It matches the Rfam family "tRNA". From Rfam's summary of the family: Transfer RNA (tRNA) molecules are approximately 80 nucleotides in length. Their secondary structure includes four short double-helical elements and three loops (D, anti-codon, and T loops). Further hydrogen bonds mediate the characteristic L-shaped molecular structure. tRNAs have two regions of fundamental functional importance: the anti-codon, which is responsible for specific mRNA codon recognition, and the 3' end, to which the tRNAs corresponding amino acid is attached (by aminoacyl-tRNA synthetases). tRNAs cope with the degeneracy of the genetic code in two manners: having more than one tRNA (with a specific anti-codon) for a particular amino acid; and 'wobble' base-pairing, i.e. permitting non-standard base-pairing at the 3rd anti-codon position. Lineage: Bacteria; Bacillati; Actinomycetota; Actinomycetes; Bifidobacteriales; Bifidobacteriaceae. The record is from RNAcentral.